UGGUCCGCCCCUUCGGGGAGCGGGUCACUGGCCUCCUAUGUUCCUAACGGUCCUCAUCCGCGAGGGUGGGGAAUCAACCGCUAGGAUCGUUUACUUUGAGGAAAUUAGAGUGUUCAAAGCAGGCGUAACUCGCCUCCGAAUACGUUAGCAUGGGAUAAUGGAAUACGACUUCGGUCUUGUUUCGUUGGUUUCGCUUGGCUGAAGUAAUGAUUGAUAGGGACAGUUGGGGGCAUUAGUAUUUAGUUGUCAGAGGUGAAAUUCUAGGAUUUACUAAAGACUGACCAAUGCGAAAGCAUUUGCCAAGGAUGUUUUCAUUAAUCAAGAACGAAAGUAGGGGGAUCGAAGACGAUCAGAUACCGUCGUAGUCUCUACCGUAAACUAUGCCGACCAGGGAUCCGGAGAGUUUGCAUGGAUGACUCCCCGGGCACCUUGUGAGAAAUCAUAAGUGUUUGGGUUUUGGGGGGAGUAUGGUCGCAAGGCUGAAACUUAA
RNAcentral lists this ribosomal RNA (490 nucleotides) under Vermamoeba vermiformis. RNAcentral's name for it is "SSU rRNA". It matches the Rfam family "Eukaryotic small subunit ribosomal RNA", at positions 660 to 1147 of the family's 1831-position model. The record is from RNAcentral. Lineage: Eukaryota; Tubulinea; Echinamoebida; Vermamoebidae.